This 316-nucleotide unclassified non-coding RNA is filed under the name Moritella viscosa. RNAcentral describes it as "putative sRNA". Lineage: Bacteria; Pseudomonadati; Pseudomonadota; Gammaproteobacteria; Alteromonadales; Moritellaceae. The record is from RNAcentral.
UGACUACAAUAAUGAAUUUAUGUAUUAAUUUUAUGUUUGCAGACAUGUUUACCGAAAAUUGUAACGGCUACUCUAGGGGCUAUUAUCGGAUUAUUUACAAAAUGUGCAGCAGGUCAUCGAAGAAGAAUUGUUAUGAACUGGUAGGGGAUUAUUUAGUGGUAUAUAUACUUAGUCUAAAUUAUUUUUAAAUCGUAAAGACGCGAUAAUUAAAUCUAUGAGAUAGGUGAGCUUUCAGUAUUAAGACGUGUUUGAGCAAUACAUUCCUGUUUUAAUGUGCCAAGUGCGGUAUUGACAACAUUUGUAUUACAAUUGACGA